AGCAUAUCAAUAAGCGGAGGAAAAGAAACUAACAAGGAUUCCCCUAGUAACUGCGAGUGAAGCGGGAAAAGCUCAAAUUUAAAAUCUGGCGGUUUAUGCCGUCUGAGUUGUAAUCUGGAGAAGUGUUUUCUGUGUUGGACCGUGUACAAGUCUCUUGGAACAGAGCGUCGUAGAGGGUGAGAAUCCCGUCUUUGACACGGACUGCCAAUGCUAUGUGAUACGCUCUCAAAGAGUCGAGUUGUUUGGGAAUGCAGCUCAAAAUGGGUGGUAAAUUCCAUCUAAAGCUAAAUAUUGGCAAGAGACCGAUAGCGAACAAGUACCGUGAGGGAAAGAUGAAAAGCACUUUGGAAAGAGAGUUAAACAGUACGUGAAAUUGUUGAAAGGGAAACGCUUGAAGUCAGUCGUGUCGUCUGGGACUCAGCCUUGCUUCUGCUUGGUGUACUUCCUGGUUGACGGGCCAACAUCGAUUUUGACCAGUGGACAAAGACAAAUGGAAUGUGGCACCUUUAGGUGUGUUAUAGCCUUUUGUUGCAUACGCUGGUUGGGAUCGAGGACUGCAGCAUGCCUUUUAGGCCGGGGCAUCGCCCACGUAACAUGCUUAGGAUGUUGGCAUAAUGGCUUUAAGCGACCCGUCU
This 635-nucleotide ribosomal RNA is filed under the name uncultured fungus. RNAcentral describes it as "eukaryotic LSU rRNA". It matches the Rfam family "Eukaryotic large subunit ribosomal RNA", at positions 37 to 654 of the family's 3401-position model. The record is from RNAcentral. Lineage: Eukaryota; Fungi.